This 255-nucleotide ribosomal RNA is filed under the name Clostridium botulinum. RNAcentral describes it as "partial 23S ribosomal RNA". It matches the Rfam family "Bacterial large subunit ribosomal RNA", at positions 181 to 440 of the family's 2925-position model. The record is from RNAcentral. Lineage: Bacteria; Bacillati; Bacillota; Clostridia; Eubacteriales; Clostridiaceae.
AACCCGGGGAACUGAAACAUCUAAGUACCCGGAGGAAGAGAAAGAAAAAUCGAUUUCCUAAGUAGCGGCGAGCGAACGGGAAAGAGCCCAAACCAGAAACUUGUUUCUGGGGUUGCGGAUAGAUCAUAAAAGAAGAGGUAUCUUAAUCGAAGAGGGCUGGAACGCCCUACCAUAGAAGGUAAUAGUCCUGUAGAUAAAAAGAGAAAACUUUAAGAUCUAAUCCAGAGUACCACGAGACACGUGAAACCUUGUGGG